GAUGAACGCUGGCGGCGUGCCUAAUACAUGCAAGUCGAGCGAACAGACGAGGAGCUUGCUCCUCUGACGUUAGCGGCGGACGGGUGAGUAACACGUGGAUAACCUACCUAUAAGACUGGGAUAACUUCGGGAAACCGGAGCUAAUACCGGAUAAUAUAUUGAACCGCAUGGUUCAAUAGUGAAAGACGGUUUUGCUGUCACUUAUAGAUGGAUCCGCGCCGCAUUAGCUAGUUGGUAAGGUAACGGCUUACCAAGGCAACGAUGCGUAGCCGACCUGAGAGGGUGAUCGGCCACACUGGAACUGAGACACGGUCCAGACUCCUACGGGAGGCAGCAGUAGGGAAUCUUCCGCAAUGGGCGAAAGCCUGACGGAGCAACGCCGCGUGAGUGAUGAAAAUCUUCGGAUCGUAAAACUCUGUUAUUAGGGAAGAACAAAUGUGUAAGUAACUAUGCACGUCUUGACGGUACCUAAUCAGAAAGCCACGGCUAACUACGUG
This 497-nucleotide ribosomal RNA is filed under the name uncultured bacterium. RNAcentral describes it as "partial 16S ribosomal RNA". It matches the Rfam family "Bacterial small subunit ribosomal RNA", at positions 28 to 507 of the family's 1533-position model. The record is from RNAcentral.